UACAGAGGUCCCAAGCGUUGUUCGGAUUCACUGGGCGUAAAGGGCGCGUAGGCGGUCGGGUAAGUCUGACGUGAAAUCUUCAAGCUCAACCUGGGGGCUGCGCUUGAUACUGGUGAGCUUGAAUGCGGGAGAGGAUAGUGGAAUUCCCAGUGUAGAGGUGAAAUUCGUAGAUAUUGGGAAGAACACCGGUGGCGAAGGCGGCUAUCUGGCCCGUAAUUGACGCUGAGGCGCGAAAGCGUGGGGAGCAAACAGG
This 253-nucleotide ribosomal RNA is filed under the name uncultured bacterium. Its description in RNAcentral is "partial 16S ribosomal RNA". It matches the Rfam family "Bacterial small subunit ribosomal RNA", at positions 524 to 776 of the family's 1533-position model. The record is from RNAcentral.